UAUCUCUGUAGAGUCUGCAUAUCAAUAAGCGGAGGAAAAGAAACUAACAAGGAUUCCCCUAGUAACGGCGAGUGAAGCGGGAAGAGCUCAAAUUUGAAAUCUUCAAGGUUUGACCUUGACGAAUUGUAGUUUAAAGAAGUGUUUUCGGUUAGAGGAGUAGUAAAAGUUCUUUGGAAUAGGACAUCAUAGAGGGUGAGAAUCCCGUAUUUGACUAUUCUUUCUAGCUUUGUGAUACACUUUCAAAGAGUCGGAUUGUUUGGGAAUGCAGUCCAAAAUGGGUGGUAAAUUUCAUCUAAAGCUAAAUAUUGGCGAGAGACCGAUAGCGAACAAGUACCGUGAGGGAAAGAUGAAAAGAACUUUGAAAAGAGAGUUAAACAGUACGUGAAAUUGUCAAAAGGGAAGCGUUUGACACCAGUGUUGUUCUUCCGAAAAUCAAUUACGAAUGGUUUGAUUUUGAGUAGUUAUGACCUUCAUCAGCUUUCUCACUUUCUUUACGAAGUCUUUCUUAAUGCACUUUCUCGGUUAACAAGUCAACAUCAAUUUCUUUUGUUGUAAAAGAGUAUCGAGGAAGGUGGCUUUCUUUUCGGAGAAAGUGUUUAUAGCCCUUAUGCCUCUACAAUCGGAGAGAUUGAGGUCUGCAGGCGUAGAUCCUUCGGGGUUAGAUACAUUUGUGCUAAGUUGUAGCUUUUCAUAGACAACUUGUUGACUAUGUUUAGUCAUUGUAGGCUUACUCGCUUAGUGCUACUUUACCUACGCUUAGGAUGUUGAGCGCAUGUCUCUCUCU
This 784-nucleotide ribosomal RNA is filed under the name uncultured Neocallimastigales. Its description in RNAcentral is "partial large subunit ribosomal RNA". It matches the Rfam family "Eukaryotic large subunit ribosomal RNA", at positions 24 to 616 of the family's 3401-position model. The record is from RNAcentral. Lineage: Eukaryota; Fungi; Neocallimastigomycota; Neocallimastigomycetes; Neocallimastigales.